RNAcentral lists this ribosomal RNA (253 nucleotides) under uncultured bacterium. RNAcentral's name for it is "partial 16S ribosomal RNA". It matches the Rfam family "Bacterial small subunit ribosomal RNA", at positions 524 to 776 of the family's 1533-position model. The record is from RNAcentral.
UACGUAGGGGGCAAGCGUUGUCCGGAAUCAUUGGGCGUAAAGAGCGCGUAGGCGGUCCGGUAAGUCGGUUGUGAAAACUGGGGGCUCAACCCUCAGAGGCCGACCGAUACUGUCGGGCUAGAGUCCGGAAGAGGCGAGUGGAAUUCCUGGUGUAGCGGUGAAAUGCGCAGAUAUCAGGAGGAACACCAAUGGCGAAGGCAGCUCUCUAGUACGUGACUGACGCUGAGACGCGAAAGCGUGGGGAGCGAACAGG